Molecule: ribosomal RNA, 115 nt
Filed under: Lepisosteus oculatus (spotted gar)
Lineage: Eukaryota; Metazoa; Chordata; Actinopteri; Semionotiformes; Lepisosteidae
Source: RNAcentral
CUGGACAGCAAUACUGCUGGCUUGUCGUGAUCUCAUCAGAUCUCACAACCUCAUCAGAGCUGGGCAUGGCCAGUACUGGGGUGGGAGCCCUCUGAAGGAAACAGGUUGCUGCUGU